GCGGGUGUAGCUCAAUGGUAGAGCACCAGCCUUCCAAGCUGGCAGUGGGGGUUCGAUUCCCCUCACCCGCUCCA
RNAcentral lists this transfer RNA (74 nucleotides) under Rhodospirillaceae bacterium. RNAcentral describes it as "tRNA-Gly". It matches the Rfam family "tRNA". Rfam says of the family: Transfer RNA (tRNA) molecules are approximately 80 nucleotides in length. Their secondary structure includes four short double-helical elements and three loops (D, anti-codon, and T loops). The record is from RNAcentral. Lineage: Bacteria; Pseudomonadati; Pseudomonadota; Alphaproteobacteria; Rhodospirillales; Rhodospirillaceae.